UACAGAGGGGGCAAGCGUUGUCCGGAAUUAUUGGGCGUAAAGAGCUCGUAGGCGGUCUGUUGCGUCGGCUGUGAAAUCCCGAGGCUCAACCUCGGGCCUGCAGCCGAUACGGGCAGACUAGAGUUCGGCAGGGGAGACUGGAAUUCCUGGUGUAGCGGUGAAAUGCGCAGAUAUCAGGAGGAACACCGGUGGCGAAGGCGGGUCUCUGGGCCGAUACUGACGCUGAGGAGCGAAAGCGUGGGGAGCGAACAGG
Molecule: ribosomal RNA, 253 nt
Filed under: uncultured bacterium
Lineage: Bacteria
Description: partial 16S ribosomal RNA
Rfam family: Bacterial small subunit ribosomal RNA
Source: RNAcentral